This 335-nucleotide ribosomal RNA is filed under the name uncultured bacterium. Its description in RNAcentral is "bacterial SSU rRNA". It matches the Rfam family "Bacterial small subunit ribosomal RNA", at positions 18 to 344 of the family's 1533-position model. The record is from RNAcentral.
CCUGGCUCAGGAUGAACGCUAGCGAUAGGCUUAACACAUGCAAGUCGAGGGGCAGCAUGGUCUUAGCUUGCUAAGACUGAUGGCGACCGGCGCACGGGUGCGUAACGCGUAUGCAACUUGCCUCACAGAGGGGGAUAACCCGUCGAAAGACGGACUAAUACCGCGUACACUCCAGUCUGGGCAUCCAGGCUAGAGGAAAUGAAUUUCGCUGUGAGAUAGGCAUGCGUCCCAUUAGCUAGUUGGUGAGGUAACGGCUCACCAAGGCGACGAUGGGUAGGGGAACUGAGAGGUUGAACCCCCACACUGGGACUGAGACACGGCCCAGACUCCUACGG